RNAcentral lists this transfer RNA (360 nucleotides) under uncultured Microcystis sp. Its description in RNAcentral is "partial 16S ribosomal RNA". The stretch from base 132 to 205 matches the Rfam family "tRNA". Lineage: Bacteria; Bacillati; Cyanobacteriota; Cyanophyceae; Chroococcales; Microcystaceae. The record is from RNAcentral.
AGGGAGACCUAAUUCGGGUAUAAGACGAAAAAAUAGUAGUCGAAACCAAGAAUCAAUCCCAAAAGGUCGGAACGAGGUAUGUGGCUUUCAAACUAGGUUCUGGGUUCAUAAAAGACCUGAAUCAGGAACAAGGGCUAUUAGCUCAGGUGGUUAGAGCGCACCCCUGAUAAGGGUGAGGUCCCUGGUUCGAGUCCAGGAUGGCCCACCUGCACAGGUGGCAAAAACAAAGAAAAGAAGCGAGGAAUCAGCACCUUAUCUUACUUAUAUAGUAAGAGAGAAUGCUGGCUCUGAGUACAGAGUCCAGAGGAACCUUGAAAACUGCAUAGAGCUAGGUGAAAAAGCCAAAAAAGAAGACCGCAA